RNAcentral lists this ribosomal RNA (292 nucleotides) under uncultured bacterium. RNAcentral describes it as "partial 16S ribosomal RNA". It matches the Rfam family "Bacterial small subunit ribosomal RNA", at positions 505 to 796 of the family's 1533-position model. The record is from RNAcentral.
GUGUCAGCAGCCGCGGUAAUACGUAGGCAGCGAGCGUUGUUCGGAAUUACUGGGCGUAAAGAGUGCGUAGGCGGUGCUCCAAGUCUGUUGUGAAAUCUCCCGGCUUAGCUAGGAGGGUGCGGCGGAAACUAGAGUGCUAGAGGGUGGGAUAGGCAAGUGGAAUUCCCGGUGUAGCGGUGAAAUGCGCAGAUAUCGGGAAGAACACCCGUGGCGAAGGCGGCUCUCUGGGACGGUACUGACGCUGAGGCGCGAAAGCGUGGGGAGCAAACAGGAUUAGAUACCCCGGUAGUCC